GAUGAACGCUGGCGGCGUGCCUAAUACAUGCAAGUCGAGCGAACAGAUAAGGAGCUUGCUCCUUUGACGUUAGCGGCGGACGGGUGAGUAACACGUGGGUAACCUACUUAUAAGACUGGAAUAACUCCGGGAAACCGGGGCUAAUGCCGGAUAACAUGUUGAACCGCAUGGUUCUACAGUGAAAGGCGGCUUUGCUGUCACUUAUAGAUGGACCCGCGCCGUAUUAGCUAGUUGGUGAGGUAACGGCUCACCAAGGCAACGAUACGUAGCCGACCUGAGAGGGUGGUCGGCCACACUGGAAGGGAGACACGGUCCAGACUCCUACGGGAGGCAGCAGUAGGGAAUCGUCCGCAAUGGGCGAAAGCCUGACGGAGCAGCGGCGCGUGAGUGAUGAAGGUCUUCGGAGCGUAAAACUCUGUUAUUAGGGAAGAACAAAUGCGUAAGUAACUGUGCGCGUCUUGACGGUACCUAAUCAGAAAGCCACGGCUAACUACGUG
Molecule: ribosomal RNA, 497 nt
Filed under: uncultured bacterium
Lineage: Bacteria
Description: partial 16S ribosomal RNA
Rfam family: Bacterial small subunit ribosomal RNA
Source: RNAcentral